CUGCUGGCAGAGGUGUCCCAGGACCUGACGGCGGCCCAGGGCGCGACAGACAACGUGAGGACAGCUGCCAGCAACGUCCUGGUGGCUCUGGCCCGCUCGCACUUCAGCUUGGUGAUGGCCGAGCUCCAGGGCCACCUGAAGGCCGUGGCGGAGAUGUCCAAGGAGUUUGCGCUCAUCACCCUGAGCAAGCUGUUCAGCAGCUAUGCUCCGCAGUGCAUCACCUUCAUGUGGCUGACACUGGCCGGCCUGCGCUGUGUGGCCGGCCAGGUGAGGAGCGGCCGCACCCUGCGCGUCGCUUGUGCUGGUGAGUGCCGGCC
Numida meleagris (helmeted guineafowl) is the source of this 317-nucleotide long non-coding RNA. RefSeq lists it as uncharacterized. The record is from RefSeq and is a predicted model, not a curated record. NCBI's taxonomy places the organism in Eukaryota, Metazoa, Chordata, Aves, Galliformes, Numididae. The transcript has 3 exons.